ACGCUCGACACCUACGAGGCAGCAGUGGGGAAUAUUGCACAAUGGGGGAAACCCUGAUGCAGCGACGCCGCGUGAGCGAAGAAGUAUUUCGGUAUGUAAAGCUCUAUCAGCAGGGAAGAAGAAAGACGGUACCUGACUAAGAAGCCCCGGCUAACUACGUGCGAGCAGCCGCGGUAAUCUGAGCGGGCUGGCAAGGC
RNAcentral lists this ribosomal RNA (197 nucleotides) under uncultured bacterium. RNAcentral's name for it is "partial 16S ribosomal RNA". It matches the Rfam family "Bacterial small subunit ribosomal RNA", at positions 326 to 539 of the family's 1533-position model. The record is from RNAcentral.